RNAcentral lists this signal recognition particle RNA (262 nucleotides) under Lachnospiraceae bacterium. RNAcentral describes it as "signal recognition particle sRNA large type". It matches the Rfam family "Bacterial large signal recognition particle RNA". Rfam says of the family: The signal recognition particle (SRP) is a universally conserved ribonucleoprotein involved in the co-translational targeting of proteins to membranes. Lineage: Bacteria; Bacillati; Bacillota; Clostridia; Lachnospirales; Lachnospiraceae. The record is from RNAcentral.
CCGCGCAGCCGGGGAGAUAGCGGUGCCCUGUACUCGCAAUCCGCUACAGCGAGGGUGAUGCCGAGCCGAGGGCGUACUGCUGUGGAGCUGCCCUGAAUAAGUGAUGUUGACGCCUGGGUCUUGCGCAACAGGAACCCGUGAACCGUGUCAGGUCAGGAAUGGAGCAGCACUAAGCGGGACCACCUGUGUGCCGUAAGGGUGCCUGGGUCGAGUUAACUGUUCAGGUAACGUCCAUGGUAUGCGUUCGAAGCAAGGCGCGCGG